GGCUUAGAGUUUGAUCAUGGCUCAGGACGAACGCUGGCGGCGCGCCUAACACAUGCAAGUCGAACGGAGUUAUUCCGAAUGAAGUUUUCGGAUGGAUUUUGGAAUGACUUAGUGGCGAACGGGUGAGUAACGCGUGAGUAACCUGCCCUGGAGUGGGGGACAACAGUUGGAAACGACUGCUAAUACCGCAUAAGCCCACGGCCCGGCAUCGGGCUGAGGGAAAAGGAUUUAUUCGCUUCAGGAUGGACUCGCGUCCAAUUAGCUAGUUGGUGAGGUAACGGCCCACCAAGGCGACGAUUGGUAGCCGGACUGAGAGGUUGAACGGCCACAUUGGAACUGAGACACGGCCCAGACUCCUACGGGAGGCAGCAGUGGGGGAUAUUGCACAAUGGGGGAAACCCUGAUGCAGCGACGCCGCGUGGAGGAAGAAGGUUUUCGGAUUGUAAACUCCUGUCGUUAGGGACGAAUCAUGACGGUACCUAACAAGAAAGCACCGGCUAACUACGUGCCAGCAGCCGCGGUAAAACGUAGGGUGCAAGCGUUGUCCGGAAUUACUGGGUGUAAAGGGAGCGCAGGCGGACCGGCAAGUUGGAAGUGAAAUCUAUGGGCUCAACCCAUAAAUUGCUUUCAAAACUGCUGGCCUUGAGUAGUGCAGAGGUAGGUGGAAUUCCCGGUGUAGCGGUGGAAUGCGUAGAUAUCGGGAGGAACACAGUGGCGAAAGCGACCUACUGGGCACCAACUGACGCUGAGGCUCGAAAGCAUGGGUAGCAAACAGGAUUAGAUACCCUGGUAGUCCAUGCCGUAACGAUGAUUACUAGUGUUGGAGGAUUGACCCCUUCAGUGCCGCAGUACACAUAGUAAUCCACCUG
RNAcentral lists this ribosomal RNA (869 nucleotides) under uncultured bacterium. RNAcentral's name for it is "bacterial SSU rRNA". It matches the Rfam family "Bacterial small subunit ribosomal RNA", at positions 1 to 875 of the family's 1533-position model. The record is from RNAcentral.